RNAcentral lists this ribosomal RNA (319 nucleotides) under alpha proteobacterium oral taxon B69. Its description in RNAcentral is "bacterial SSU rRNA". It matches the Rfam family "Bacterial small subunit ribosomal RNA", at positions 30 to 381 of the family's 1533-position model. The record is from RNAcentral. Lineage: Bacteria; Pseudomonadati; Pseudomonadota; Alphaproteobacteria.
CGAACGCUGGCGGCAGGCCUAACACAUGCAAGUCGAGCGCCCGCAAGGGAGCGGCGGACGGGUGAGUAACGCGUGGGAACGUACCCUUUGCUACGGAAUAGCCUCGGGAAACUGGGAGUAAUACCGUAUGUGCCCUUCGGGGGAAAGAUUUAUCGGCAAAGGAUCGGCCCGCGUUGGAUUAGGUAGUUGGUGGGGUAAUGGCCUACCAAGCCGACGAUCCAUAGCUGGUUUGAGAGGAUGAUCAGCCACACUGGGACUGAGACACGGCCCAGACUCCUACGGGAGGCAGCAGUGGGGAAUCUUAGACAAUGGGCGCAAG